Molecule: ribosomal RNA, 253 nt
Filed under: uncultured bacterium
Lineage: Bacteria
Description: partial 16S ribosomal RNA
Rfam family: Bacterial small subunit ribosomal RNA
Source: RNAcentral
UACGGAGGGUGCAAGCGUUAUCCGGAUUCACUGGGUUUAAAGGGUGCGUAGGCGGAUAGGUAAGUCCGUGGUGAAAUCCUGCAGCUUAACUGCAGAACUGCCAUGGAUACUAUCUAUCUUGAAUGUCGUGGAGGUUAGCGGAAUAUGUCAUGUAGCGGUGAAAUGCUUAGAUAUGACAUAGAACACCCAUUGCGAAGGCAGCUAACUACGCGAUAAUUGACGCUGAUGCACGAAAGCGUGGGGAUCAAACAGG